This 336-nucleotide long non-coding RNA is filed under the name Musa acuminata (dwarf banana). RNAcentral describes it as "long non-coding RNA (MACU_LNC010604)". The record is from RNAcentral. Lineage: Eukaryota; Viridiplantae; Streptophyta; Magnoliopsida; Zingiberales; Musaceae.
AGCAAUCUCCCACUUGACCUAAAGCCAAUCACCUAUGUGUCUGAUCCCCAUCAGACUCCUGUGACGCUCAAAGACAAUCUGAGACAACGGCUUUAUCAGUGGAUCUGCAAUGUUAUCUUCGGAUGGAACUCUUUCCACUACUACAUCUCCUCGGGUUACGAUCUCUCUUAUAAGCUGGAACCUCCUCAGAACACUUCUGAUGAGACCCGGGUUCCCUUAUUUGAGUAAUUACCCCAUAGUUGUCGCAAUAUAAGGAAGUCGACUUGUCGCUAUCUGUAUCGACUCCCAAAUCUGUGAUGAACUUCUUCACCCAGACUCCCUCCUUUGCUGCAUCCG